Molecule: long non-coding RNA, 783 nt
Filed under: Olea europaea subsp. europaea
Lineage: Eukaryota; Viridiplantae; Streptophyta; Magnoliopsida; Lamiales; Oleaceae
Source: RNAcentral
UUCACACAUUUGUUCCAAUCACGAUGAACUUAUAUAAUCUUUUCCAUACACUUGCACUCUGAGAAAUCUGAUACAUCAUGUCUUGCCUUCGUCUUGUUCAGGAAAUAUCCAUGAACCCAGAAGAGUUUCUGCAUUGUCAAGUCCUCAGGUUUGUCUACAGCAUUUGCUAUGUCAUUCCAUCCAAUGCAUUGCUUCAGGUGGUCAAGCCCCUAACUUCAAGUUCUUUUUCUUUGCACAAAAAGAGGAUGAGCCUUCUACUUAUCUUGUAGUGUGUCAUUAAUUCCUCAACAUGUAAAGCGCAAUUAAAGAUCAAAGCUGAUGUCCGGAGCACAUCACAGGCCUUCUCAGCAUUAUUUCAAUCGGCUUCAUCCAGAUUCGGUUAGCCUUAGGUCUGUAUUAAGUCGUGAUCUUGAUUCUUGUGGGACAAAGAGAUAGUUUCGUGUCGCGGCCUACAUAGUUUGAUGUAAUUCCCUUCUUUGAAUGGAUCAAAAUUAGAGAAAAUUGUAGCAACUAGAGAGAACUAGGGGUUUGUGAAAAUAAGGUGAAGAUUGCGAAAUGUUUUUCAAAACCCAUUAAUCAUGUUUUUACAAGUGACAGAAAUUAUUUUCUCCAUUUGUUGGCCACAUGGCAACUUUCCAUUGACAACUUACAUUUCACAAGGAUGUGUGUUUGUUUGAAAACAUUAUGGGCCAUUGAUCAAAAUAGAGGGUUGAGAUUAGCUUAAACUUUACUCUCAUUUAAUUGAUAUGGACGGCAGGAGAGAGGACCAAAAAAUGACACUCA